Molecule: ribosomal RNA, 425 nt
Filed under: uncultured bacterium
Lineage: Bacteria
Description: partial 16S ribosomal RNA
Rfam family: Bacterial small subunit ribosomal RNA
Source: RNAcentral
GUGGGGAAUCUUGCGCAAUGGGCGAAAGCCUGACGCAGCCAUGCCGCGUGAAUGAUGAAGGUCCUAGGAUUGUAAAAUUCUUUCACCGGGGACGAUAAUGACGGUACCCGGAGAAGAAGCCCCGGCUAACUUCGUGCCAGCAGCCGCGGUAAUACGAAGGGGGCUAGCGUUGCUCGGAAUUACUGGGCGUAAAGGGCGCGUAGGCGGACAGUUUAGUCAGAGGUGAAAGCCCAGGGCUCAACCUUGGAAUUGCCUUUGAUACUGGCUGUCUUGAGUACGGGAGAGGUGAGUGGAACUCCGAGUGUAGAGGUGAAAUUCGUAGAUAUUCGGAAGAACACCAGUGGCGAAGGCGACUCACUGGCCCGUUACUGACGCUGAGGCGCGAAAGCGUGGGGAGCAAACAGGAUUAGAUACCCCGGUAGUCC